Molecule: ribosomal RNA, 486 nt
Filed under: Triticum aestivum (bread wheat)
Lineage: Eukaryota; Viridiplantae; Streptophyta; Magnoliopsida; Poales; Poaceae
Description: partial small subunit ribosomal RNA
Source: RNAcentral
AUGGCUAGCGUCAGGAAAUUUGUAAAUGGUGGAGCAAGUCUGGAGGGCAACCUACCACUGCUGCAGACAUGGUACUACGAGAAGUGGAGGGUGCACCAAUUGGACUCUACCAUCUCGUAUGCAUCAAGGUUAAGGCCGCUGAUCCAAAACUGGAGUGACGAGAAGGCACAGAAGGUUGACAACAUAAUCAACAAAAAUUAUAUAGGGGUUGGAGAGUAUGUCGAUGACCUGCUGCGGCCCUUCAAUACGCCACUAGUUGGGACGCCGGUCAAACCAAAGAAUGACGGCCAGGAUAAGGCACUCAUGGGCCGUGUAUUGGCUGAUUUGAAAGAAGUUGUCUCCAUUGUGCGGGAGGCCAGUGCACAACAAUUUGAUAGGAUGUGCACCCUUGAAAGAAAAAUGGACGAGUGCCUUAGGCGUACCCUUGCGAACGGUAGACGCACGGACGGCCUCAUCACAGAAUUCAAUAACCACCGAAAUAUUUGA